RNAcentral lists this long non-coding RNA (203 nucleotides) under Trifolium pratense (red clover). Its description in RNAcentral is "long non-coding RNA (TPRA_LNC005862)". Lineage: Eukaryota; Viridiplantae; Streptophyta; Magnoliopsida; Fabales; Fabaceae. The record is from RNAcentral.
AUUCAUCUAUAAGAUUUUCUUUACCUUAACCAAAUAACUAAACCUAAAUUCAAAUAUAUAAAAUCUUCGUCCAAACUUAUUUAUUAACAACAACAAAUAUUCGAGUUUAUAUAAUAUAAUAAGAAAAAUAAAAUAAAUGUUCAAGAAAAUAUUAAAUAAGAGGGACAAAAACUAACAAUAAUUUUGAAGAGACACAAACCUCG